CACAAUCCUUGUGUUCCAGCUUCUAAUCUUCAAAUCAUACAUCAGAUGUAGCAUCAUCUAGGACUUGGGUGUUCCUUUAGUAGUUGUAAACAUCUAGAUGCCAAUACCUAUAGGAAGUUAAGCCAGGGAUUAGAAAUCUAACUUCAGUCGCAGCCCACAGGGCCUGGGGACCGGGAAAGUUUUUGACUGUACCUGAUGUGUUGGCGAUAUUUAAAGGCUCACACAGUGAUCAUUCUGUUUAAAUGGGUUCCCCGGUUCUUAUCAAGGGCAGGUCCUAGCAUGGUAAUCACCUGUGGCAUGGUCAUUCCUCCAGAAACAAUUAUUUCUGUAGAGAGCUAAUAGCAGAAACUUAAGAUUAGAAAUCCAGGUGAUAUAGUAAGAGUGCUAUUAAAAAGACCAUCAAACUUAACAACCGCAAA
This 419-nucleotide long non-coding RNA is filed under the name Triticum aestivum (bread wheat). Its description in RNAcentral is "long non-coding RNA (TAES_LNC007838)". Lineage: Eukaryota; Viridiplantae; Streptophyta; Magnoliopsida; Poales; Poaceae. The record is from RNAcentral.